UACGGAGGGGGCCAGCAUUGUUCGGAAUCAUUGGGCGUAAAGGGCGCGUAGGCGGCCAAUCAAGUCCGACGUGAAAUUCCUCGGCUCAACCGGGGGCCUGCGUCGGAUACUGCUUGGCUUGAGUCCCGGAGAGGGCAGUGGAAUUCCCAGUGUAGCGGUGAAAUGCGUAGAUACUGGGAGGAACACCGGUGGCGAAGGCGGCUACCUGGACGGGUACUGACGCUGAGGCGCGAAAGCUAGGGGAGCAAACCGG
RNAcentral lists this ribosomal RNA (253 nucleotides) under uncultured bacterium. RNAcentral describes it as "partial 16S ribosomal RNA". It matches the Rfam family "Bacterial small subunit ribosomal RNA", at positions 524 to 776 of the family's 1533-position model. The record is from RNAcentral.